UUUAUCCCAAAAAAGCUGCUAGAGCUACUUCCAAAACAUCAAAUGGCUUCUCCAGUAUGGCUAACUCCUCUUCUGCUUAUGAUUCCUGUAUUAUUCUACCUUUUGAAAAAUAAAAUUCAAGCUCAGCGAUCACAGAGAAAGCAGCAACCUCCAGGGCCUCCAGGCAUUCCAAUCAUAGGCAACUUGCAUCAACUUGGCGAAUUGCGGCAUCGCACUUUGUGGCAAUUCUCCAAGAAAUAUGGCCCUGUGAUGCUUCUCCAUCUCGGUCGCGUACCAACAGUUAUCGUCUCCUCUGCAGAUGCAGCUAAGGAGGUCUUGAACACCCAUGAUCUCAAUUGUUGCAGUAGACCUCUCUUGGCUGGUACUGGGAAGCUAUCCUAUAACUAUCUUGACGUAGCUUUUACUCCCUAUGGAGAUUACUGGAGAGAUAUGAGAAAGAUUUGUGUUCUUGAGCUCUUCAGUGCCAAGAGAGUCCAGUCGUUUCAGUUUGUUAGGGAAGAAGAGACUGAUUUGCUCAUCAGUUCCAUCUCCAAGUUUUCUUCCUCUGCCACUCCUGUUGAUCUCAGUGAGAAGAUGAUGUCUCUCACUGCGAACAUAACUUGUAGAGCAGCAUUUGGGAAGAGUUUUCAAGAGAGAGGGUUCGGCCAUGAAAGAUUCCAAGAAGUUAUUCAUGAAGGCUUGGCUAUGCUUGGGAGCUUCUCUGCAGCUGAUUUCUUUCCUUAUGUGGGUUGGGUUGUUGAUAGACUCACAGGCCUCCACGCAAGGCUUGAAAACAUUUUUCAAGAAUUUGAUGUUUUCUACCAGAAAGUGAUAGAGGAUCACAUCCAAAAGCAAAGCAAAGAUCCUGGAAAGGAGGAUAUUAUCGAUGUGUUGCUUGGGAUGGAGAGACCUCAAACUGAAACUGCAAUUCAAUCGUCCAAAGAUCAUAUUAAAGCGAUUCUCAUGGUAACUUAACUGGGUUUUUUUCCCCUUAUUUUUCUUUAUUGAUUAAUUCAUUUGAUACGAAAAUUAAUCCUAUUGAUUUCCAGAACUUAUUCCUGGCCGGAGUCGAUACCGGAGCAAUAACCAUGGUGUGGGCCAUGGCAGAGCUUGCUAGGCACCCUAGAGUAAUGAAAAAAGCACAAGAAGAAAUCAGAAGUUGCAUCGGAAAUAAAACAAGAGUCUCUGAAAGUGACAUUGACAAGCUUGGAUACUUAAAGAUGAUAGUGAAGGAAACAAUGAGACUGCACCCACCAGGUCCACUGCUAGUUCCAAGAGAAGCCAUGUCAAGCUUCAGCAUAAAUGGGUAUGAGAUAGAGCCCAAGACUCGAAUCCAAGUGAAUGUAUGGGCAAUAGGAAGGGAUCCCAAGAUAUGGAGAAACCCAGAAGAGUUUUUUCCAGAGAGGUUUAUAGACAAUCCCAUUGAUUUUAAAGGGCAGAAUUAUGAAUUGCUACCAUUUGGUGGUGGAAGGAGAGGCUGUCCUGGAAUCUCCAUGGGACUAGCUACUGUGGAGCUUGCACUUGCAAAUCUUCUGUUUUGUUUUGAUUGGAAGUUGCCUUUUAAUUUGAAGGAGGAAGAGCUUAACAUGGAAGAGGCGUCUGGUAUUACUACUUAUAAGAAAGCAGCUCUACUCCUAGUGCCUAUUCAAUAUCAAUCUGCAUGAUAAUAAUAGAGAGAGAGCGAGAAAAAUUAUAUGAUCUUACGCUGCUUUGCUUAAUUUAUAUUGAUAACAUUUGCUUUGAAUAAAAGUAAGAAAUAAUUCAUUUAAUUUUGAGGAUGAAUUUUACAAACUUUGUUUAUUGAAUAAAUUGAUAUGAAAAAAACUGAUUUUGGCUUUUAAAAAUAUAGAUUGUUUGUUCAUAUAAACCUUUAAACUUUUCUGUCUAAAUAAAAUUUUGAAUUAUUAAAAUGAAUAAGGAUGGACGCAGCAUUGAAAAGUAGGGCCAAAGAUAUAUAUAUAUAUAUAUAUAACAAAAUAAAAGUAAUUUUUUUUAAACUGUAAUUAAUAAUCAUUAAAAAAUAAUUCUUAAAACAAAAUUCAUUGCACUUUUAUUAUGUUAUGAAAAUAAUCUAUAAGUAAAUUUAUUGUAAAUGUUUCUGUAAUUUAUAUUUUUUAUUUGACUUAUUUAUUAAGUUUUGUUGAUAUUUUAAUAUAUAAAUAAAUUGAAUUUAUCUUAUUUUUAAUUAUGGACUACAAGUUACUUGAUUGAUUGCACUUUUGAUGCUCUAAUUUAAGGCUCAAUUUGAAGAAUCAAAUUUAUAUCACAGUAAAAAUUCUCUGUUUACUAUGGUGUUAUGGCCUUGUAUAGUAUUAUUUUAAAUAAUAUAUUAAAUUAUUUAAAUAUCCUUAUUUAUUUAUUUAUGCAAUUUAAUUACUACAAUUUAUUUUCAUUCAUAAAUAGUUAUCUGAUAUGAUUGAAAUAGAGUUAAACUGUGAUUAUCAAUCUGCAAGAGAAAAAAGAUAAGAUAGUUGGCGCUUACGGCAGUCACUCUGACACUUAAAUCAGUAAACUGAAGAAUAAGACAGGUGUAAAGAAUAGUUUAGAAUUCAAGAAUAGUUAUAUAAGAAUUGCAUAUUUUGGUUUCUGUGAUCAUUAGUUUUUAUACUGUAAGAAUAUGAAGUUAAUUAUAACAUUUUCUAAAAAUUCGAUGGGUGCUAGCUAAUUGAUAAGGGAUCUCAUCGGUUGAUUGACUGGGAUUUCCGUAAUCACCGGCGUAAUGGAGAUUUGCUGGAUUGUGCCUGCUAACGGUAACUUUAUGUGAAGGCUCGACCUUUCUUGAAUAGGGCGAGUCUUGAUGAAAAAUCGAGAGUUACGGUGUCUGGAUCUUCCUUUCCACGGGUAGAACUACGUAUCGGUAUCGGUUUAUCGGACUCUUGCCACGUGAUCCGUCUUAGGGUGAUAGCUUAUAACUUAUUUUGGGCUAUUGUUGUGUUAAAUCAAAAGUUUCCCUGUUGGUCUUCGAUUUUUCAAAUCGAAGGUUACAUUUGUCUUCACGAUCUUGGGUACGUGGCAUUUUUGGAUUGACUCUUCAUGCUUGCGUUGCUUUGUCUAGUCAUAAAUGAUGAUUACCUUAAUUUUCACCAAGUAUAUUAGGAUCAGUACUUGACCAUAGAUGAAACUCUUCAUCUAGUAUUAUCACUGAUUAAUGGUCAAAUUAAAUAUAAAAUACUUGGCCAAUUUUCUUUAUUUGGAUUAAUACCCGGUCAUGUGCCUGGAGGAUACUCGCCUUCUGGCCUUAAAACUUUUAUUUAUUGAAACUAAUUUUUAAUCAUGUGCUUGGCGGAUUUCUGCCUUGUGACUCGCCUGGCGGAUACUCAUCUUGUGGCCUUAAAACUUUUGUUUAUCGGGAAUAACACCCAAUCAUGUACCUGGAAGAUUCUCGCCUUGUGGCUCGCUUGGCAUAUACUCAACCUUAUGGCCUUGAAACUUUAUUUAUCGGGAUUAACACCCAGUCAUGUGCCUGGCGGAUUUCCGCCUUGUGGCUCGCCUAGCGGAUACCUGCCUUAUAGCUUUGAAACUUUUAUUUAUCAGGACUAACACCAGGAUAUGUGCCUGGUGGAUUCUCACCUUAUAGCUCGCUUGGCUGAUUCUCACCUUGUGGCGUUGGCAUAAAAUGCUUUGUUGAUCGGGACUAACACCUGAAUAUGCACCUGGCAGAUUCUCGCCUGGCGGAUUUUUGUCUUAUGGCGUUGGCAUAAAAUGCCUUAAUUGAUCGGGACUAACACCUGGAUAUGUGCCUGGAGGAUUCUCGCCUUGUGGUUGCCUAGUGAAUUUCCGCCUUGUAGCGUUGGCAUAAAAUGCUUUGUUGAUCGAGACUAAAACCUGGAUAUGUGCCUGGUGGAUUCCCGCCUUAUGGCUCGCUUGGAGAAUUCUCGCCUUGUGGCAUUGGCAUAAGAUGCCUCGGGACUAAUUCCCGAAUAUGCAACUGGUAGAUUCCCGCCUUGUGGCUCAUCUGGCGGAUUCUUACAUUGUAGUAUUGGCAUAAAAUGCCUUAGUUGAUCGGGACUAACACCCGGAUAUGUGCCUUGCAGAUUUCUACCUUGUGGCUCGCCUAGUAGAUUCCCACCUUAUGGCGUUUAUUCUUUAUCUCCGCGCUCUUGUCUAUCCAAUGUUAAAAAAGACUCAAGAAUGCAUCAUAGUUUUAUUAUAAAUUACAAAAAUACUUUCAAGAACAUUUAAAAUAUUCGGUCUUCUAACUUAACCAAUUGCAAAACUUGGAGUUUUGAUUUAGGAAUUAAAUAUAUGUGACAUUCUGCUUCUAUAGACCCUUAUUGCUACUCGGUCCUCCUGCAAUCACGUGAAUAACCCCUAUAGGUUCAUUUUAUCGAGAUGGACUAGUGUUCUUACCUCAAGUCCUAAGCUCUUUUCUUAUGUCUUUUAUAGCAAACUUUCAAAGUGUAUCGUCCCUUAUUAAUCUCUCGAUCCCGUCUUUCAGCUGUCGGCACUCCUAUGUUAUAUAUCUGUGAUCUUUGUGAAAGAGGCAGUACUUGGUCUUAUCUCGCCUUUCUACUCUCUCGGGAUGGAGCUUGGGAGGCCACCUGACCUCCUUAUCAUUUUUUCUGAUCCACAUUAGAAUACGUAUUCAUGAGUCAUGCAAUGGAGUAUAAUUCUUAUACUUACUUUGCUCAUCCCUCCUUCGAGAGACGAUAUAACUUCUGUGGUCUCCUUCAUAUCCUUAUCUCUAUGGCUUUUGGUUUUGUUUUUGGCUCGCCCUGUUGUCCUCUCUCAAUACUUGGACUUCAUCAUCCAGCCUGAUAUGCUUCUAGGUUUUGUCCAUCAAUUGUUGGUAUGUAGCAGCUGGAUUCUUGAUUAAGGAAUCCAUAAACUUGAUGUUGCGUAUUUCUUUCUUUGAUGCUUCACAUGCUAUCUCUUAAUUUAACUCAUCCACCUGCUUUUGCAUUAAACCGUGAGAUAAAACUCUUUAAAGACUCACCCUCUCCUUGGUGAAUCUUCCAUAAGUUAGAGGAGAGCUUUUUAGGAGGUAUACAAGUAAUAAACCUGAAUUUAAAUAACAUGGCAAACUACAUAAAGUUCUGAAUUAAAUUUGAGCUUAGAUGUUGGUACCAUUUCUGAGCCAAACCUGUGAAGGUUGACGGAAACACUUGACACAACACAAAAUCGUUGAUAUCCUGAAGCUGCAUGGUCGUCCUAAAGAUCGCUAGGUGACUUAUGUGAUCUGUUGUCCCGUCAUAUUUAUCCAAAUUUGAGAGUUUGAAUUUAGCGAGGAAUAUCUCUACCAAGAUCUCUUCUGAAAGAGGUGAGUCAUCAUCCAGGCCAAAGUUCUCUUCCCGCUUAGGGGUGAGCAGUAUUCGGUUCAAACCGAAAAAACCGAUCGAACCGAACCGAUUUGAAAAUUUGGUUCGAUUUUUUAUACAUUUCGGUUCGGUUCAGUUUUUAAUUUCAGAAAUUUCGGUUCGGUUCGGUUUUGAUCAGAAAAAAAACCGAAAAAACCGAACCGAACCGAUUAGUGAUAAUAAUAUAUUUUUUCAAUAAUAUAGAGAAAUUAAAUUAUAUUAAAAUUAAAAUAUUUUAAUUAAAUUUUAAAAUAUUAAAAAUAAAGUGUAAAAAAUAAAAAAAUUAUUAAAAAUCGAAACCGAUCAAACCGAACCGAAUAGAACCGAAUCAGACCAGUUCGGUUCAUUUCGGUUUCUGACCAAAAUCGGUUCGGUUCGGUUCGGUUUUCAUAAACACUAAAAUUUCAGUUUUUGGUUUAUUCGGUUCGGUUCGAUUUUGAACCGAACCGACCGAAUGCUCACCCCUAUUCCUGCUCUUUCUGGUACCUUUAAACAGCUCGUACCAACUUCCAAUCAACGUCCUUCGGGGUAUCGUCUAAUGACUUUUCUUCCUCGAACUCGACCUUCCCUUUAGAUCGUGUUUGGAUCGUCUCUGUCUGAGUUCUUGGGGUAUCAACAGAGACUUUCUCCCUUUCUUCCCCUGAGAGUCAUGAAUGACGCCUCCCUCUGAAUUUUAUAUUGCAAUAGAGUAGCAUGCAACAUUUUGAUGUAUUGGAACAUCUACUCAUUGUUCAGAUUGUUGAGAUCAGCUUUAUUGACUAUAGAGGGCAUGUUUUAUCCACUGCCAAGAGCAGAAGAAAUAAUAAUGCCCUCAUUGGUAGCAACCUUAACAGCAGCUUGUGAGUUGCAGGUCAUUUCGAGAGAGAGAAAAAAAAAAAGAUUUCUUUUUAAGAGAACAAGAAUAAGAUACCAGUUUUAAUCUAAAUAAACAUAGAGAAUUCAAUAGAUUUCCUGACAAUGGAAUUAAAUGAUAUGGUCGGAAUAGAACUGUAUUAUGAUUGAUCAAUCUGCAAGAGAGAUAAGUGAGAUGAUUGGCACCUACGGCAGCCACUCUGACGUUCAAGUCAGUAAACUGAAGAAUAAGACGAGUGUAAGAAAUUGCUUAGAAUUCAAGAAUAAUUGUGUAAGAAUUGUGUAUUUUGGUCUAUGUGAUCAUUAACUUUUAUACUAUAGGAAGAUGAAGUUAAUCACAAUAUUUUCUAAAAAUCUUGUGGGUGCUGGCUAAUUGAUAAAGGAUCCCAUUGCCUAACUGAUUGAAAAUCUUGUAAUCAUCGGUAUAAUAGAAAUCUAAUGGAUUAUGUCUACUAAUAAUAAUUUUAUGUGAAUAUUCAAUAUUUUCUGAAUAGGACGAGUCUUGAUACAAAUCGAAAAUUUCUUUCCAUAAGUAAAACCGUAUAUCGGUUUAUCAAACUCUUAUCACAUGAUUCCAUUUUAGAAUAACAACACAUCAUUUAUUUUAAGUGAUAGUUAUAUUAUAUCUAUGUUUAAAUUAUUUUAAAAAAUAAUAUUAAAUAUUUAAUAAUAACAUGACAUUUACAAAAUGAUAUUCCAACAUCAUAAUUAUCCUUCAUUAUAUCCAUCAUUAUCAUCCAAUCAAUCCAAUAAUUACUAUAUAUAAUAUAAUAAAUAUGGUGUCUAUGAAAGGAGUGUUAUCCUAAUAAAAAGCACAGGUACCUAUAUUUGAAAAUAACAACUACCAACAGAAUAUCACGUUCCAUCAACAUCAAGAAAUAAUUUUUUCCGAACUCUCAUGGGCCUUUAAGCAAUUUCCUCAACUUAUUAUCUCGGUGCGAUAAGAAUUUACAAGCUUUUAGGACCAUAGACUUCAAAUCCAAUUUGAACACCAACUCUCAAAUUUCACUAACAUUUGUGGUUAUAUUAGAUAGACUUGCAGUUGCCAUUUUAAGUUGAUAAGAUUCGAAUUUGGACUUUUCUUUGUGUUGAGAUUGCGACAGAAGAAUGGACCAUAUUUCAAGGCAGUCUCUUAUCUGGACUUUUCUCAACUUCAGUACGGUCCAAGACAGUCACCUGCACAAUUAAAUGUUUCAUGUCUAAAAUUAUUUAUAUCUUUAUUCCUUUAAUAUUAUAAUUAAAUAAAAAAAAAAUUUUUUCUCUUAACAUUCAAAAGAGAGAAUGAACAAUUAGAAUGAUGAAAAAACGGCAAAUGGCUUCUCCAAUAUGGCUAACUCCUCUUCUUCUUAUGAUUCCUGUAUUAUUCUACCUUUUGAAAAAUAAAAUUCAAGCUCAGCGAUCACAGAGAAAGCAGCAACCUCCAGGGCCUCCAGGCAUUCCAAUCAUUGGCAACUUGCAUCAACUUGGGGAAUUGCGUCAUCGCUCUUUGUGGCAAUUCUCCAAGAAAUAUGG
Molecule: long non-coding RNA, 7640 nt
Filed under: Manihot esculenta (cassava)
Lineage: Eukaryota; Viridiplantae; Streptophyta; Magnoliopsida; Malpighiales; Euphorbiaceae
Description: long non-coding RNA (MESC_LNC000896)
Source: RNAcentral